AGUGAACGCUGGCGGUAGGCCUAACACAUGCAAGUCGAACGGCAGCACAGUAAGAGCUUGCUCUUACGGGUGGCGAGUGGCGGACGGGUGAGGAAUACAUCGGAAUCUACUUUUUCGUGGGGGAUAACGUAGGGAAACUUACGCUAAUACCGCAUACGACCUACGGGUGAAAGCAGGGGAUCUUCGGACCUUGCGCGAUUGAAUGAGCCGAUGUCGGAUUAGCUAGUUGGCGGGGUAAAGGCCCACCAAGGCGACGAUCCGUAGCUGGUCUGAGAGGAUGAUCAGCCACACUGGAACUGAGACACGGUCCAGACUCCUACGGGAGGCAGCAGUGGGGAAUAUUGGGCAAUGGGCGCAAGCCUGAUCCAGCCAUACCGCGUGGGUGAAGAAGGCCUUUGGGUUGUAAAGCCCUUUUGUUGGGAAAGAAAAGCAGCAGGUUAAUACCCCGCUGUUCUGACGGUACCCAAAGAAUAAGCACCGGCUAACUUCGUG
RNAcentral lists this ribosomal RNA (492 nucleotides) under uncultured bacterium. RNAcentral's name for it is "partial 16S ribosomal RNA". It matches the Rfam family "Bacterial small subunit ribosomal RNA", at positions 29 to 507 of the family's 1533-position model. The record is from RNAcentral.